UACGUAGGGUGCGAGCGUUGUCCGGAAUUAUUGGGCGUAAAGCGCACGUAGGCGGUUCGUUAAGUCGGAUGUGAAAGCCCUCGGCUCAACUGAGGAAGUGCACCCGAAACUGGCGAGCUUGAGUACGAAAGAGGAUCGCGGAAUUCCCGGUGCAGAGGUGAAAUUCGUAGAUAUCGGGAGGAACACCGGCGGCGAAGGCGGCGAUCUGGGUCGAUACUGACGCUGAGGUGCGAAAGCGUGGGGAGCAAACAGG
This 253-nucleotide ribosomal RNA is filed under the name uncultured bacterium. RNAcentral's name for it is "partial 16S ribosomal RNA". It matches the Rfam family "Bacterial small subunit ribosomal RNA", at positions 524 to 776 of the family's 1533-position model. The record is from RNAcentral.